Molecule: ribosomal RNA, 743 nt
Filed under: Gigantococcus gowdeyi
Lineage: Eukaryota; Metazoa; Arthropoda; Insecta; Hemiptera; Monophlebidae
Description: partial 28S ribosomal RNA
Rfam family: Eukaryotic large subunit ribosomal RNA
Source: RNAcentral
UCAGCGGGGAAAGAAGACCCUUUUGAGCUUGACUCCAGUCUGGCAUUGUUCGGAGACAUGCCGAGGAGUAGAAUAAGUGGGAGAUGAGGAUCACGCGGUGGAGUCGGAAACGGCUCUUUCGUGCCUUAUCGACGGUGAAAUACCACUACUCGCAUCGUUUCCUUACUUACUCGGUUAUGCGGAGCGCGUGCUGUUUGGUCCUGGUCUUUGGCCGGUGCCGUCUAGUACGUCCUCGAUUGUCGGUCGUCAGUUUGGGCCGAGAUAAAAACUUCGCGUCUGGUGAUCGUACAAGUUUCGCACUUGCUUUUGCCAGUUCGCGUUCGUUUCCUCGUGCCUUCUGGCGCCGGUUCGGUCGUGGACGUCUCGGUAUCGUGUCGGAGUCCGUCGCGGCCGGCAGUCACGAUCGGUUCCCGGUCGACUUAAGCGCAAUCGCGACGCCUGUCAGUCAGAACGGUCUACGGUAGAGUUUCAGCGCGCGCGAUGGCUGCUUCGGCGGUCAUUCGUGUGUGAAGUUCUAUCGCCCGGUUUGGCCUGGCGUCGUUGCGUGAUCCGAUCCGAGGACACCGCCAGGUGGGGAGUUCGACUGGGGCGGUACAUCUGUCAAAGAAUAACGCAGGUGUCCUAAGGCCAGCUCAGCGAGGACGGAAACCUCGCGUAGAGCAAAAGGGCAAAAGCUGGCUUGAUCCCGGACGCCCAGUACGCGUAGGGACUGCGAAAGCAUCGGCCUCUCGAUCCUCUCGUCU